AUGGGCUGCUGCCUAAUUCGGACAUUAACUGUGCGAUGUGAGUUUGCCGAAUCUGAAACGGAAUGGGGAUCAGGGUACGGGGGAUUCGCCAAAUCUAGCGACGGCUUCCAAGGGACGUUUAUGGAUUUUGGAAAAUUUUCCACGGGAUUUCCUGAUUUAAGACUGGGCGAUAAAUACCCUAUCCUGGUAGAUCGAGCAAACAGAAGCAGGCUAUGCCAUGCUAGUGGUAGCAAUGAAUGGAAGAGGGUACACGAUCUUUAUUUGUGCUGCCGUAUAUUAACUUUCCUCUUGCUUAUUGAUUUCUAG
Molecule: ribosomal RNA, 306 nt
Filed under: Triticum aestivum (bread wheat)
Lineage: Eukaryota; Viridiplantae; Streptophyta; Magnoliopsida; Poales; Poaceae
Description: partial small subunit ribosomal RNA
Source: RNAcentral